This 442-nucleotide ribosomal RNA is filed under the name uncultured bacterium. RNAcentral's name for it is "partial 16S ribosomal RNA". It matches the Rfam family "Bacterial small subunit ribosomal RNA", at positions 338 to 795 of the family's 1533-position model. The record is from RNAcentral.
CCUACGGGAGGCAGCAGUAGGGAAUCUUUCACAAUGGGCGAAAGCCUGAUGGAGCAAAGCCGCGUGCAGGAUGAAGGCCUUCGGGUUGUAAACUGCUUUUAUAAGCGAGAAAUAUGAUGGUAACUUAUGAAUAAGGAUCGGCUAACUACGUGACAGCAGCCGCGGUCAUACGUAGGAUCCGAGCAUUAUCCGGAGUGUCUGGGGGUAAAGAGUUGCGUAGGUGGCAUAAUAAGUAGCUAGUGAAAUCUGGUGGCUCAACCAUUCAGACUAUUAGCUAAACUGUUAAGCUCGAGACCGUUAGGGGUAACUGGAAUUUCUGGUGUAGGAGUGAAAUCCGUAGAUAUUAGAAGGAACACCAAUAGCGUAGGCAGGUUGCUGGGACGGUUCUGACACUAAGGCACGAAAGCGUAGGGAGCAAACGGGAUUAGAUACCCUUGUAGUC